UACGUAGGUGGCGAGCGUUAUCCGGAAUUACUGGGCGUAAAGCGCACGCAGGCGGCCGGUCAAGUCUGACGUGAAAGCUCCUGGCUUAACUGGGAGAGGUCGUUGGAAACUGGCGGGCUUGAGGCAAUGAGAGGGGUGUAGAAUUCCCGGUGUAGUGGUGGAAUGCGUAGAUAUUAGGAGGAACACCAGUGGCGAAGGCGGCUUUCUGGCUUGACCCUGACGCUGAGGCGCGAAAGCGUGGGGAGCAAACAGGAUUAGAUACCCCGGUAGUCCCU
Molecule: ribosomal RNA, 275 nt
Filed under: uncultured prokaryote
Description: partial 16S ribosomal RNA
Rfam family: Bacterial small subunit ribosomal RNA
Source: RNAcentral